RNAcentral lists this signal recognition particle RNA (266 nucleotides) under Sinobaca qinghaiensis. Its description in RNAcentral is "Bacterial large signal recognition particle RNA". It matches the Rfam family "Bacterial large signal recognition particle RNA". From Rfam's summary of the family: The signal recognition particle (SRP) is a universally conserved ribonucleoprotein involved in the co-translational targeting of proteins to membranes. Lineage: Bacteria; Bacillati; Bacillota; Bacilli; Caryophanales; Sporolactobacillaceae. The record is from Rfam by way of RNAcentral.
CCGUGCUAAGUGGGGAGGUAGCGGUGCCCUGUACUCGCAAUCCGCUAUAGCGAGGCUGAAUCCCUUCUCGAGGCUAUGCUUUUGUGCAGCCUGCCCUAUGUAAGUGGUGUUGACAACCGGGUUCUGCGCAAUGGAAACCCGUGAAUCCUGUCAGGUCCGGAAGGAAGCAGCAGUAAGCGGACUCUUCUAUGUGCCGCAGAGCUGCCCGGUUCGAGCUAACUGCAUAGGUAACGUGCAUGAAAGCAUUGUCGACAGAAGGUGCACGG